Molecule: ribosomal RNA, 770 nt
Filed under: uncultured Laccaria
Lineage: Eukaryota; Fungi; Basidiomycota; Agaricomycetes; Agaricales; Tricholomataceae
Description: eukaryotic LSU rRNA
Source: RNAcentral
CAAGGUUUCCGUAGGUGAACNUGCGGAAGGAUCAUUAUUGAAUAAACCUGAUGUGAUUGUUAGCUGGCUUUUCGAAGCAUGUGCUCAUCCGUCAUCUUUAUCUCUCCACCUGUGCACAUUUUGUAGUCUUGGAUACCUCUCGAGGAAACUCGGAUUUUAGAAUCGCUGUGCUGUACAAGUCGGCUUUUCUUUCAUUUCCAAGACUAUGUUUUUAUAUACACCAAAGUAUGUUUAUAGAAUGUCAUCAAUGGGAACUUGUUUCCUAUAAAAUUAUACAACUUUCAGCAACGGAUCUCUUGGCUCUCGCAUCGAUGAAGAACGCAGCGAAAUGCGAUAAGUAAUGUGAAUUGCAGAAUUCAGUGAAUCAUCGAAUCUUUGAACGCACCUUGCGCUCCUUGGUAUUCCGAGGAGCAUGCCUGUUUGAGUGUCAUUAAAUUCUCAACCUUCCAACUUUUAUUAGCUUGGUUAGGCUUGGAUGUGGGGGUUGCGGGCUUCAUUAAUGAGGUCGGCUCUCCUUAAAUGCAUUAGCGGAACUUUUGUGGACCGUCUAUUGGUGUGAUAAUUAUCUACGCCGUGGAUGUGAAGCAGCUUUAUGAAGUUCUGCUUCUAACCGUCCAUUGACUUGGACAAUYUUGAUAAUUUGACCUCAAAUCAGGUAGGACUACCCGCUGAACUUAAGCAUAUCAAUAAGCGGAGGAAAAGAAACUAACAAGGAUUCCCCUAGUAACUGCGAGUGAAGCGGGAAAAGCUCAAAUUUAAAAUCUGGCAGU